This 417-nucleotide ribosomal RNA is filed under the name uncultured bacterium. Its description in RNAcentral is "bacterial SSU rRNA". It matches the Rfam family "Bacterial small subunit ribosomal RNA", at positions 960 to 1378 of the family's 1533-position model. The record is from RNAcentral.
CGCGAGGACCUUACCUGGGCUCGAACGCGGGGGGGAUGUGCCGGAAACGGUACAGCCAGCAAUGGCCGCCCGCGAUGUGCUGCAUGGUUGUCGUCAGCUCGUGCCGUGAUGUGUCGGGUUAAGUCCCAUAACGAGCGCAACCCCUACCGCCAGUUGCCAGCGGGUAAAGCCGGGGACUCUGGCGGGACUGCCGGCGUAAGCCGAGAGGAAGGCGGGGAUGACGUCAAAUCAGCACGGCCCUUACGUCCAGGGCUACACACGUGUUACAAUGGCCGGUACAGAGGGAGGCGACCCCGCGAGGGGGAGCGGAUCCCGAAAGCCGGUCGUAGUUCGGAUCGGAGUCUGGAACCCGACUCCGUGAAGCCGGAUUCGCUAGUAAUCGCGCAUCAGCCAUGGCGCGGUGAAUACGUUCCCGGG